Molecule: ribosomal RNA, 50 nt
Filed under: Anaueria brasiliensis
Lineage: Eukaryota; Viridiplantae; Streptophyta; Magnoliopsida; Laurales; Lauraceae
Description: partial 26S ribosomal RNA
Source: RNAcentral
GGCUCUCGGACCGCGACCCCAGGUCAGGCGUGGCCACCCGCUGAAUUUAA